RNAcentral lists this unclassified non-coding RNA (412 nucleotides) under uncultured Elaphomyces. RNAcentral describes it as "sequence contains ITS2". The stretch from base 1 to 154 matches the Rfam family "5.8S ribosomal RNA". Lineage: Eukaryota; Fungi; Ascomycota; Eurotiomycetes; Eurotiales; Elaphomycetaceae. The record is from RNAcentral.
AACUUUCGGCAAUGGAUCUCUUGGUUCCGGCAUCGAUGACGAACGCAGCGAAAUGCGAUAAGUAAUGCGAAUUGCAGAAUUCCGUGAGUCAUCGAAUCUUUGAACGCACAUUGCGCCCCCCGGCUGCCCGGGGGGCAUGCCUGUCCGAGCGUCAUUGCCAUCCCCUCAAGCUCCGCUUGGCUGGUUGGGCCGACGUCCACCCGUGGCUUUGUGCCAAGGGGGGACGGACCCGAAAGGCAGUGGCGGCUCCCGGAGGGUGGUCCCUUGGGGCGGUGAUACAUGGGUUGUCAUCUUCCACCGCUCUGUUGGCCACGCUCCGGGGGUCUGUCGAACGAUUGGUCUUCCCCUUUAGGUUGACCUCGGAUCAGGUAGGGAUACCCGCUGAACUUAAGCAUAUCAAUAAGCGGAGGCU